AGUAUGCUCAUGGGAACCCAGCUGGAAAGUGCUGUGGAAGGACAAAUGGAGAAAAGUCUCCAGAAAUUGGCCUCGUUUGAAAGGACCUCAUGCAAAGAGAGAUCUUUGGAGACAUUUCAGAAAGGUUUUUAUUCAAACAUAUUCGCAGCUUGUAUGACAGUGGAAUGUUUUGAAAUGAGCUUGAUUCUGUUUACCCAUCCUUCUUAAUCCAACAACUCUGCUGGUCUCUCUGCUGACACAAGAUCGUUCGCAGGUUAUAGAAGGAUUUAACACGUCAGAUAGUUUUUUCUAGAGGUAGGAGGUACAUAAGAGAAACGUGUUUUAUGGCUGUGGUUUUCAAGAAGUACAGCGUUUUGGAGAGAGUGGAAGGCUUUCAUGCAUGAAACACUCAGGGAGGUAGGAGAUCCAUGAGAUCCAAGCUAAACAAUUCUGGAAGAGUUACCUGAAGUUGACACUUAAUUCAAGCUGCAUCAUCUUCCUCCUCCCAGCAGAUGAAGACCAAAGG
Long non-coding RNA from Homo sapiens (human), 505 nucleotides. RefSeq lists it as uncharacterized. The transcript has 3 exons. NCBI's taxonomy places the organism in Eukaryota, Metazoa, Chordata, Mammalia, Primates, Hominidae. The record is from RefSeq and is a predicted model, not a curated record.